ACAUGCAAGUCGAGGGGCAGCAUGUCCAGCAAUGGAUGAUGGCGACCGGCGGAAGGGUGCGUAACGCGUGAGCAACAUGCCCUAUACAGGGAGAUACACCAGGGAAACUUGGUCUAAUAUCCCAUAGCAUUCAUUGAAGGCAUCUUUAAUGAAUUAAAGCUUCGGUGGUAUAGGAUUGGCUCGCGUGACAUUAGCCAGAUGGUGAGGUAACGGCUCACCAUAGCAAUGAUGUCUAGGGGUUUUGAGAGGAAGGCCCCCCACACUGGGACUGAGACACGGCCCAGACUCCUACGGGAGGCAGCAGUGAGGAAUAUUGGACAAUGGAUGGAAAUCUGAUCCAGCCAUGCCGCGUGCAGGAAGACGGCCUUAUGGGUUGUAAACUGCUUUUAUACGGGAGCAAUAAGGGUUACGAGUAAUCCGAUGAGAGUACUGUAUGAAUAAGGAUCGGCUAACUCCGUGCCAGCAGCCGCGGUAAUACGGAGGAUCCGAGCGUUAUCCGGAAUUAUUGGGUUUAAAGGGUGCGUAGGCGGCCAUUUAAGUCAGCGGUGAAAUUUUGCAGCUUAACUGUAACAGUGCCGUUGAUACUGUUUGGCUAGGAUUUGGUUGUAGUGUGCGGAAUGUGUGGUGUAGCGGUGAAAUGCUUAGAUAUCACACAGAACACCGAUUGCGAAGGCAGCACACUAAGUCAUUAUUGACGCUGAGGCACGAAAGUGUGGGGAUCAAACAGGAUUAGAUACCCUGGUAGUCCACACUGUAAACGAUGAUAACUCGCUGUCGGCGAUACACAGUCGGGGCCAAGCGAAAGC
This 806-nucleotide ribosomal RNA is filed under the name uncultured bacterium. Its description in RNAcentral is "bacterial SSU rRNA". It matches the Rfam family "Bacterial small subunit ribosomal RNA", at positions 53 to 858 of the family's 1533-position model. The record is from RNAcentral.